RNAcentral lists this ribosomal RNA (582 nucleotides) under uncultured bacterium. RNAcentral describes it as "bacterial SSU rRNA". It matches the Rfam family "Bacterial small subunit ribosomal RNA", at positions 340 to 922 of the family's 1533-position model. The record is from RNAcentral.
UACGGGAGGCAGCAGUAGGGAAUAUUGGGCAAUGGGCGAGAGCCUGACCCGGCCAUGCCGCGUGCAGGAAGAAGGCUUUCUGAGUCGUAAACUGCUUUUGACAGGGAAGAAUAAGCUGUACGUGUACAGUGAUGACGGUACCUGCAGAAUAAGCACCGGCUAACUCCGUGCCAGCAGCCGCGGUAAUACGGAGGGUGCGAGCGUUGUCCGGAUUUAUUGGGUUUAAAGGGUGCGUAGGCGGCCUUUUAAGUCCGGGGUGAAAGCCCGUUGCUCAACAACGGAACUGCCCUGGAUACUGGAAGGCUUGAGUACAGACGAGGUUGGCGGAAUGGACCGAGUAGCGGUGAAAUGCAUAGAUACGGUCCAGAACCCCGAUUGCGAAGGCAGCUGACUAGGCUGUUACUGACGCUGAGGCACGACAGCGUGGGGAGCGAACAGGAUUAGAUACCCUGGUAGUCCACGCCGUAAACGAUGGAUACUCGCUGCGAGCUAAAGAUUGUUCGUGGCUUAGGGAAACCGAUAAGUAUCCCACCUGGGGAGUACGCCGGCAACGGUGAAACUCAAAGGAAUUGACCGAAGGGC